This 441-nucleotide ribosomal RNA is filed under the name uncultured soil bacterium. Its description in RNAcentral is "bacterial SSU rRNA". It matches the Rfam family "Bacterial small subunit ribosomal RNA", at positions 26 to 518 of the family's 1533-position model. The record is from RNAcentral.
AGAACGAACGCUGGCGGCAUGCCUAAUACAUGCAAGUCGAACGAGACCUUCGGGUCUAGUGGCGCACGGGUGCGUAACGCGUGGGAAUCUACCCUUGGGUUCGGAAUAACAGUUGGAAACGACUGCUAAUACCGGAUGAUGACGAAAGUCCAAAGAUUUAUCGCCCAGGGAUGAGCCCGCGUAGGAUUAGCUAGUUGGUGAGGUAAAGGCUCACCAAGGCUACGAUCCUUAGCUGGUCUGAGAGGAUGAUCAGCCACACUGGGACUGAGACACGGCCCAGACUCCUACGGGAGGCAGCAGUAGGGAAUAUUGGACAAUGGGGGCAACCCUGAUCCAGCAAUGCCGCGUGAGUGAUGAAGGCCUUAGGUGUAAAGCUCUUUACCGAGAUGAUAAUGACGGUAUCGGAGAAUAAGCUCCGGCUAACUCCGUGCCAGCAGCCGC